Molecule: transfer RNA, 72 nt
Filed under: Fukomys damarensis (Damara mole-rat)
Lineage: Eukaryota; Metazoa; Chordata; Mammalia; Rodentia; Bathyergidae
Rfam family: tRNA
About the family: Transfer RNA (tRNA) molecules are approximately 80 nucleotides in length. Their secondary structure includes four short double-helical elements and three loops (D, anti-codon, and T loops).
Source: Rfam by way of RNAcentral
UCUGGUGGAGCUCAAGGGUAUAGCACAUGCCCGGCAUGCAUGAAGCCCUGGGUUUGAUCCCCAGCAUCACAG